GAUGAACGCUAGCGGCAGGCCUAACACAUGCAAGUCGAGGGGCAUCAUGGCGUAGCAAUACGCUGAUGGCGACCGGCGCACGGGUGCGUAACGCGUAUGGAACCUACCCACCGCAGGGGGAUAACCCGCCGAAAGGCGGACUAAUACCCCAUGGUUCCCCGACCCUGCCUGGGGUUGGGGGUAAAGCCUACGGGCGGCGGUGGAUGGCCCUGCGUGCCAUUAGCUGGCUGGUGGGGUAACGGCCCACCAGGGCGACGAUGGCUAGGGGGUCUGAGAGGACGAUCCCCCACACUGGUACUGAGACACGGACCAGACUCCUACGGGAGGCAGCAGUGGGGAAUAUUGCACAAUGGGGGAAACCCUGAUGCAGCGACGCCGCGUGAGUGAAGAAGGUCUUCGGAUCGUAAAACUCUGUCCUUGGUGACGAAGGAAGUGACGGUAACCAAGGAGGAAGCCCCGGCUAACUACGUG
Molecule: ribosomal RNA, 471 nt
Filed under: uncultured bacterium
Lineage: Bacteria
Description: bacterial SSU rRNA
Rfam family: Bacterial small subunit ribosomal RNA
Source: RNAcentral